GAUGAACGCUGGCGGCGUGCCUAAUACAUGCAAGUCGAGCGAACGGACGAGAAGCUUGCUUCUCUGAUGUUAGCGGCGGACGGGUGAGUAACACGUGGAUAACCUACCUAUAAGACUGGGAUAACUUCGGGAAACCGGAGCUACUACCGGAUAAUAUUUUGAACCGCAUGGUUCAAAAGUGAAAGACGGUCUUGCUGUCACUUAUAGAUGGAUCCGCGCUGCAUUAGCUAGUUGGUAAGGUAACGGCUUACCAAGGCAACGAUGCAUAGCCGACCUGAGAGGGUGAUCGGCCACACUGGAACGGAGACACGGUCCAGACGCCUACGGGAGGCAGCAGUAGGGAAUCUUCCGCAAUGGGCGAAAGCCUGACGGAGCAACGCCGCGUGAGUGAUGAAGGUCUUCGGAUCGUAAAACUCUGUUAUUAGGGAAGAACAUAUGUGUAAGUAACUGUGCACAUCUUGACGGUACCUAAUCAGAAAGCCACGGCUAACUACGUG
This 497-nucleotide ribosomal RNA is filed under the name uncultured bacterium. RNAcentral's name for it is "partial 16S ribosomal RNA". It matches the Rfam family "Bacterial small subunit ribosomal RNA", at positions 28 to 507 of the family's 1533-position model. The record is from RNAcentral.